This is a non-coding RNA of Pelobates cultripes (western spadefoot toad), 313 nucleotides long. The record is from the annotation of a GenBank genome assembly. Lineage: Eukaryota; Metazoa; Chordata; Amphibia; Anura; Pelobatidae.
GUGUGUGUGUAUAUAAUGAAUGCGGUGUGUUUGUGUAGUGGGUGUAUAUAAUGAAUGCGUAAUGAGUGUGUGUUUGUGUAGUGGGUGUAUAUAAUGAAUGCAGUGUGUGUAUAUAAUGAAUGCGUAAUGAGUGUGUGUUUGUGUAGUGGGUGUAUAUAAUGAAUGCAGUGUGUGUAUAUAAUGAAUGCGUAAUGAGUGUGUGUUUGUGUACUGUGUAUGUUUGUGCAGUGUGUGUGUGUAUAUAAUGAAUGUAGAGUGUUUGUGUAGUGGGUGUAUAUAAUGCAGUGUGUGUUUGUAGGUAUGCUAAGUGUGU